Molecule: transfer RNA, 86 nt
Filed under: Maridesulfovibrio gilichinskyi
Lineage: Bacteria; Pseudomonadati; Thermodesulfobacteriota; Desulfovibrionia; Desulfovibrionales; Desulfovibrionaceae
Description: Desulfovibrio sp. K3S tRNA_Ser_GCT
Rfam family: tRNA
About the family: Transfer RNA (tRNA) molecules are approximately 80 nucleotides in length. Their secondary structure includes four short double-helical elements and three loops (D, anti-codon, and T loops).
Source: RNAcentral
GGUGGAUUGGCAGAGCGGGAAUGCGUCACUUUGCUAAAGUGUAGCCUACUCAAAAAGUAGCAGGGGUUCAAUUCCCUUAUCCACCG